CGGCGUGGCCUCCGUGGACAAAGUCCGCUGGCUGCGGGAGGCACUGUUGGCUGUGGAUCGGGUGGAGGAAGAGCCCGAGCGGGAGCUGCGGGAGCCGGAGGAGGAGGAGCUGGGCUUGACCAGAUGUACUUCCCUGCGUCGCUGGACUGCAGCGAGAUGAUUUGCAGGGAUGCAUCUCCGGCGAGGAAGUUGGAGGUGAAGGAGACACGGCCCUUCUGCUCCUCGUUCAGGUCAUCAUAAACACGGCCUCCAGAGUAGGUGAUCACCUGAGGAGCAGAGCAGGCACUGAGUUGUUUGAUUUUCGCAUGGAACAACAAAUCCGAGCGUUUCCAGGAGCUGCACAUCCCGGCAAAGUGAAUUGGCAAAGGUCACACGGGAAGCCUGGGGCAGGGUGUGAAAGCAAACCUGGGUUUCUACCCUGAGAAUAAUGCAAAAAGUGGAUUUAUUUCUGCUGGAGGUUUAUAUUGGGCACUUGUACAAGUGUAAAAACAGGCAUCAGUUUGUACCACAACACAUCAAAGCAGUCUGCAGGUUUGGCUGUGCUAAUUUAAGUCGAUGCAGACCUCAUUUUUAUAAGGAUUAAACUACUGUUUAGUCUGUGUCGUACUGAAACCACGGAUUCAAAAACUGGGCCUGCAAAAUCCAAGGUUAUUUUGAAAGCCUGAAGGGAACUUCUGAACUCGAUCUAAUGAAGAUUGACUACAUUAAAAAAAAAAAAAAAUAUUGUAACCGAACCGGGUCUGUGUUGGAUAUCAAAUAAUUGUUCCACAUUCUAAAUCUCUCUAAAUCAGCUCUGUUUUCCAAACCCUGCCCUCAUCACCACAACAACCUGCAAAGUUCAGCACAGCAGUGCUGUUAAAUGGAGGGCUGGUGGCAUGAAGGCAGGAAUAAAGUGAUUUUCUCAGCAACCCUGAUGCUGUAGAGCCAGGGAGGGGCAAAAUGACUUGCAUGAUUUUGGAAGGUAAAUGUAAGUUUAUUCAAAAGCACUUUUCUGUUUUAUAGAGAACAUCAUGAACAUUAAUUCCACAGGUCUUAGAGUAAAACCAUUUCACCUGAUUGGUGCACUGGGCUUAGUGAGGAUAUCCAGCCAAACCCACCGCUUUCUGCACGGUCUCGGAGAUGUGCAGCAGCCACUCGAUGUCCAGGCUGCCCUGCUCCAGCAGCCCCAGGCGGUGGUGGCAGGGCAGGGUCACGUUUUCCUCAGCCACCCGCUUGAACUCGGUCUGAGCCUCGCACAGCCAAACGGAGCACGAAGCUGGAAGACAAAAUUCCAUUUUCAAAGUGCUCAGAGGCAGGGUGUGGAAGAGGUUUUAACAGCAGCUUCUGUGAGCCAGAGAGAAGUUUGAGAAGAGGAGCCACGUUUACCCCGAAAGAAUUUCCUACCAAGGUUACUGACGUAGAAACCGAGAAAGAAAGGAGGAUAAAUAAGAGAUAAAUAAGAGAAACCUGCAGCUGCCUAUUCCAACAAGCACUUUGUUUGUCUUUCCUGGCCAAUGAGUAAAGUGUAAACUGAAGAGUUCUGUAAGAAUGCAUAAAAAGCGUGCAUGCUGCAAUAAAAACAGGUUUGAAACCUUCUGAAAA
Molecule: non-coding RNA, 1581 nt
Organism: Taeniopygia guttata (zebra finch)
Lineage: Eukaryota; Metazoa; Chordata; Aves; Passeriformes; Estrildidae
Source: RefSeq, a predicted model, not a curated record